GACGAACGCUGGCGGCGUGCUUAACACAUGCAAGUCGAACGGAAAGGCCCUGCUUUUGUGGGGUGCUCGAGUGGCGAACGGGUGAGUAACACGUGAGUAACCUGCCAUUGACUUUGGGAUAACUUCAGGAAACUGGGGCUAAUACCGGAUAGGAGCUACUGCUGCAUGGUGGGGGUUGGAAAGUUUCGGCGGUUGGUGAUGGACUCGCGGCUUAUCAGCUUGUUGGUGGGGUAGUGGCUUACCAAGGCUUGGACGGGUAGCCGGCCUGCGAGGGUGACCUGCCAAAUUGGACCUGAGAUACGGCACAGACUACUCCGGGAGGCAGCAGUGGGGAAUAUUGCACUAUGGGCGGAAGCCUGAUGCAGUAACGCCGCGUGGGGGAUGACGGCCUUCGGUUUGUAAACCGCAUUCGCCUGUGACGAGGCGUGAGUGACGGUAAUGGGUAAAGAAGCACCGGCUAACUACGUG
Molecule: ribosomal RNA, 468 nt
Filed under: uncultured bacterium
Lineage: Bacteria
Description: partial 16S ribosomal RNA
Rfam family: Bacterial small subunit ribosomal RNA
Source: RNAcentral